AGGGGGAUAACUACUGGAAACGGUAGCUAAUACCGCAUGACCUCGUAAGAGCAAAGUGGGGGACCUUCGGGCCUCACGCCNUCGGAUGUGCCCAGAUGGGAUUAGCUAGUAGGUGAGGUAAUGGCUCACCUAGGCGACGAUCCCUAGCUGGUCUGAGAGGAUGACCAGCCACACUGGAACUGAGACACGGUCCAGACUCCUACGGGAGGCAGCAGUGGGGAAUAUUGCACAAUGGGCGCAAGCCUGAUGCANCCAUGCCGCGUGUGUGAAGAAGGCCUUAGGGUUGUAAAGCACUUUCAGCGAGGAGGAAGGGUUCAGUGUUAAUAGCACUGUUCAUUGACGUUACUCGCAGAAGAAGCACCGGCUAACUCCGUGCCAGCAGCCGCGGUAAUACGGAGGGUGCAAGCGUUAAUCGGAAUUACUGGGCGUAAAGCGCACGCAGGCGGUUUGUUAAGUCAGAUGUGAAAUCCCCGAGCUUAACUUGGGAACUGCAUUUGAAACUGGCAAGCUAGAGUCUUGUAGAGGGGGGUAGAAUUCCAGGUGUAGCGGUGAAAUGCGUA
Molecule: ribosomal RNA, 560 nt
Filed under: Yersinia sp. N6-2
Lineage: Bacteria; Pseudomonadati; Pseudomonadota; Gammaproteobacteria; Enterobacterales; Yersiniaceae
Description: bacterial SSU rRNA
Rfam family: Bacterial small subunit ribosomal RNA
Source: RNAcentral